This 976-nucleotide ribosomal RNA is filed under the name uncultured bacterium. RNAcentral's name for it is "bacterial SSU rRNA". It matches the Rfam family "Bacterial small subunit ribosomal RNA", at positions 52 to 1046 of the family's 1533-position model. The record is from RNAcentral.
CACAUGCAAGUCGAGCGCGAAAACACUUCGGUGUGAGUAAAGCGGCGGACGGGUGAGUAACGCGUAGGAAUCUACCUAGUAGUGGGGGACAACUCGGGGAAACUCGAGCUAAUACCGCAUACGCCCUACGGGGGAAAGCGGGGGACCUUCGGGCCUCGUGCUAUUAGAUGAGCCUGCGUUGGAUUAGCUAGUUGGUGGGGUAAAGGCCUACCAAGGCGACGAUCCAUAGCUGGUCUGAGAGGAUGAUCAGCCACACCGGGACUGAGACACGGCCCGGACUCCUACGGGAGGCAGCAGUGGGGAAUAUUGCGCAAUGGGCGAAAGCCUGACGCAGCCAUGCCGCGUGUGUGAAGAAGGCCUUCGGGUUGUAAAGCACUUUCAAUUGGGAGGAAAGGUUCACGACUAAUACUCGUGAGCUGUGACGUUACCUUUAGAAGAAGCACCGGCUAACUCCGUGCCAGCAGCCGCGGUAAUACGGAGGGUGCGAGCGUUAAUCGGAAUUACUGGGCGUAAAGCGCACGUAGGCGGACUUUUAAGUCAGAUGUGAAAUCCCGAGGCUCAACCUCGGAACUGCAUUUGAAACUGGGAGUCUAGAGAUCAGGAGAGGUUAGCGGAAUACCGAGUGUAGAGGUGAAAUUCGUAGAUAUUCGGUGGAACACCAGUGGCGAAGGCGGCUAACUGGACUGAUACUGACGCUGAGGUGCGAAAGUGUGGGGAGCAAACAGGAUUAGAUACCCUGGUAGUCCACACCGUAAACGAUGAGUGCUAGUUGUCUGCGGGCAUGCCUGUAGGUGACGCAGCUAACGCAUUAAGCACUCCGCCUGGGGAGUACGGCCGCAAGGUUAAAACUCAAAGAAAUUGACGGGGCCCGCACAGCGUGAGCAUGUGUUUAUUCGAAGCACGCGCAGACUUACUACGCUGACAUGCCCGACGAUUCAGAGAUGAUCUCUCCUUCGGGCGUGCACAGGUGCUGCAG